UACGUAGGGUGCAAGCGUUGUCCGGAAUUAUUGGGCGUAAAGAGCUCGUAGGCGGUCUGUCGCGUCGGCUGUGAAAUCCCGAGGCUCAACCUCGGGUCUGCAGUCGAUACGGGCAAACUAGAGUAUUGCAGGGGAGACUGGAAUUCCUGGUGUAGCGGUGAAAUGCGCAGAUAUCAGGAGGAACACCGGUGGCGAAGGCGGGUCUCUGGGCAGUUCCUGACGCUGAGGAGCGAAAGCAUGGGGAGCGAACAGG
This 253-nucleotide ribosomal RNA is filed under the name uncultured bacterium. Its description in RNAcentral is "partial 16S ribosomal RNA". It matches the Rfam family "Bacterial small subunit ribosomal RNA", at positions 524 to 776 of the family's 1533-position model. The record is from RNAcentral.